This 300-nucleotide unclassified non-coding RNA is filed under the name uncultured Dothideomycetes. Its description in RNAcentral is "sequence contains ITS1". The stretch from base 1 to 105 matches the Rfam family "5.8S ribosomal RNA", at positions 50 to 154 of the family's 154-position model. Lineage: Eukaryota; Fungi; Ascomycota; Dothideomycetes. The record is from RNAcentral.
GAAAUGCGAUAAGUAGUGUGAAUUGCAGAAUUCAGUGAAUCAUCGAAUCUUUGAACGCACAUUGCGCCCUGUGGUAUUCCGCAGGGCAUGCCUGUUCGAGCGUCAUUCAACCCCCUCAAGCUUUGCUUGGUGUUGGGCGUUUGUCCCGCCUUCUGGCAUGGACUCGCCUCAAAAAUAUUGGCAGCCAUCUCCCUGGCUUCGAGCGCAGCACCUUUGCGCCCGGUACUUGGGGGUCGUGGCUUCCCAAAAGCACUCCUUUCGGUUGACCUCGGAUCAGGUAGGGAUACCCGCUGAACUUAA